AGAGUUUGAUCAUGGCUCAGAACGAACGCUGGCGGCAGGCCUAACACAUGCAAGUCGAACGCUCCAGCAAUGGAGAGUGGCAGACGGGUGAGUAACGCGUGGGAACCUUCCCAGUGGUACGGAAUAGCCCAGGGAAACUUGGGGUAAUACCGUAUAAGCCCCAUGGGGGAAAGAUUUAUCGCCAUUGGAUGGGCCCGCGUCGGAUUAGCUAGUUGGUGAGGUAAUGGCCUACCAAGGCGACGAUCCGUAGCUGGUCUGAGAGGAUGACCAGCCACACUGGGACUGAGACACGGCCCAGACUCCUACGGGAGGCAGCAGUGGGGAAUAUUGGACAAUGGGCGCAAGCCUGAUCCAGCCAUGCCGCGUGGGUGAAGAAGGCCUUAGGGUUGUAAACCCCUUUCAGCGGGGAAGAUAAUGACGGUACCCGCAGAAGAAGCCCCGGCUAACUCCGUGCCAGCAGCCGCGGUAAUACGGAGGGGGCUAGCGUUGUUCGGAAUUACUGGGCGUAAAGCGCGCGUAGGCGGACCUGCAAGUCAGGGGUGAAAUCCCGAGGCUCAACCUCGGAACUGCCUUUGAUACUGCGGGUCUCGAGUCCGGGAGAGGUGAGUGGAAUUCCUAGUGUAGAGGUGAAAUUCGUAGAUAUUAGGAAGAACACCAGUGGCGAAGGCGGCUCACUGGCCCGGUACUGACGCUGAGGGCGAAAGCGUGGGGAGCAAACAGGAUUAGAUACCCUAGUAGUCC
This 741-nucleotide ribosomal RNA is filed under the name uncultured bacterium. Its description in RNAcentral is "bacterial SSU rRNA". It matches the Rfam family "Bacterial small subunit ribosomal RNA", at positions 8 to 796 of the family's 1533-position model. The record is from RNAcentral.